UACAAUAAAUCUGGAUUUGCCCCCGGCAGGAGUCCACUCUUUCUUCUGCUGCUGCUGCAGAAGUCAUUGCAAGUCAUAGCCGCAAAGGCAAAAGCCUUAGGCGCCCCUCAGACCAGACAGGAUUCUGGAGAGUGCCCCCCGGUGCUAGCGGUGUUGGAGCUAGCCGCCGCAAGCCUGCUCUUUGAACAAAGAGCAGAGGGACACCGCAGCAGUUCUGGGGAUUUUUCCAUCCUGAAAGAACAUCAGUCUCUGCUAUUAGUUUUCACAGCUCUUUGUCCCAUGACCUAAAGAGAAAGUAAGUACUAAUAUCCCAGAUGGUAAAAUUUUUUGUUAUCCCAAAUCCCCAUAUCCGCAGAUCCUAUUUAUUUCUUUUUCUAUGUAUGUUCAGAGAAGCCUAGACUCAAGAGAGAAACAAGUAAAAUACUUGUACAAAAUUACUAUAAUUUCUAUCAACACAAAAAUGUCAAUAAUAGAAAAAUAGAACUAUACUCCACGAAAGAGACAAAAUAUUCUAGGGCAUGUAAUUGUAUUUGCCAACUCCAACUGGAGUUAUUAGUUUUGUUGGGCUUUUAUUAUUUUACUUAGCAUUCUACAACCUUUUAAUCUAGCAAGUAAAGAACAAAUUCUUUUCAUUUAUACUGCACUGUAACUUGAAUUAGUAAUAUCUGACCCAGAAAUACUACCAUUCAUGUACCAAUUUUACCUCCCUGUUCUGCAUAACCUUGUAGGACUUUAAGUUUAAAAAAAUUUAAAAUCUAGGUCAUUUUUUGGUGCAAAAAUUAUGACAUUUCGAAUGAAUUUUCUAGUAAGAUCAGUCAUUACAAAAGAAAACAAAUUUUAUAGGAUAAGAAAACAAAUUGCAGUAAAGCAGUGCAAAGGUUUACUACUACUACAACCUAGCAAAGUUAAUUAAAUGUCAUAGUAACCUUUCCAUUAUGUUACAUCUAACAAUUUCCUCAACUUUUUGACAUCAUGUGUC
Motacilla alba alba is the source of this 979-nucleotide long non-coding RNA. RefSeq lists it as uncharacterized. The record is from RefSeq and is a predicted model, not a curated record. The transcript has 2 exons. NCBI's taxonomy places the organism in Eukaryota, Metazoa, Chordata, Aves, Passeriformes, Motacillidae.